Molecule: ribosomal RNA, 492 nt
Filed under: uncultured bacterium
Lineage: Bacteria
Description: partial 16S ribosomal RNA
Rfam family: Bacterial small subunit ribosomal RNA
Source: RNAcentral
AUUGAACGCUGGCGGCAUGCUUUACACAUGCAAGUCGAACGGUAACAGGCCUUCGGGUGCUGACGAGUGGCGAACGGGUGAGUAAUGCAUCGGAACGUACCCAGAGGUGGGGGAUAACGCAGCGAAAGCUGUGCUAAUACCGCAUGUGAUCUGAGGAUGAAAGCGGGGGACCGAGCAGCAAUGUUUGGCCUCGCGCCUUUGGAGCGGCCGAUGCCGGAUUAGCUAGUUGGUGGGGUAAAGGCCUACCAAGGCGACGAUCCGUAGCUGGUCUGAGAGGACGACCAGCCACACUGGGACUGAGACACGGCCCAGACUCCUACGGGAGGCAGCAGUGGGGAAUUUUGGACAAUGGGCGCAAGCCUGAGCCAGCAAUGCCGCGUGCGGGAAGAAGGCCUUCGGGUUGUAAACCGCUUUUGGCAGGAACGAAACGGUGUCCGCUAAUACCGGGCGCUAAUGACGGUACCUGCAGAAUAAGCACCGGCUAACUACGUG